AUGGCUUGUUUGAAUCAAAACCAGAGCAUGUAUGAAAUGAAAAAAAGUCUUUAUGCUUCAAGAUAUUUAGAAGCUAUGAACGAUUUCUAUAAGUGUGCUACCCAAAAAAGUUUGAUAAAAGUAACAGAUUUGACAUUCAACUUUCCAGUUCCAUGUGAGUGGUGCGUUGGAGCAACUUCACUUCACUUUUCUAGUGGGCCCAGACAUAUAUAUCCAUUUGCCAUUUCGAGAGUUAUCUUGUGCUAUGAGUUAUAUAGUGUGCUAUGCUUGUCACGAGCUAAUGUUCUGGCGUAUCUGUUUCUGUAG
RNAcentral lists this ribosomal RNA (306 nucleotides) under Triticum aestivum (bread wheat). RNAcentral describes it as "partial small subunit ribosomal RNA". The record is from RNAcentral. Lineage: Eukaryota; Viridiplantae; Streptophyta; Magnoliopsida; Poales; Poaceae.